AUAAUAAGGGAAAAGGGCUUUUGAAAAUGUCUAAUUUAUGUUAGAGAUACAUUUUGAUCCAAUGGUCCAUAUCAACCUGGGUAUAUAUCAAUGACUCAGAUCAAUGUAUUUCCCGCCCAAAUAUUUCUCUCCCUCACCCUUCCACCUAUCCACGUCUCCUCCCUAUUUCCUCUUUAUCUCUCUCUCUCUCUGUUCUCACCCACUCUCCUCUCAUUCCCUCUUGAUCUCUAUCUUCCUUCCUGUUCUUUUUCUUUCCUACCCUCCCUCUGCCGCUGCUCUCCAGUCUUCUGCCUCUCGAACUCGGCUGUAUCUGUCCCGACGCUGCUCGCAAGGUAAGAUUUUUACCUCUCCAUUCUCUCUCUGUUUGUGUUUGCCUCUCCAGUCCUCGAAAACUUAUUCUGUCUCUCCAAUCUUCUCUGUCGGGCUGUGAACAGGUUAUUUUAUGGUUUUGUUUUAGGGCUAUUUUCUGUUAUUUAGGGCUAUUUUCCAUUGUUUAUUUUGGAUUUGUAAUCCUCUCUGUCAGGUGAACAGGUUAUUUUAGGGUUUUCUUUUAGAGCUAUUUCCAUUGUUUAUUCUGGGUUUGUAAUCCUAACAUUCAGGCUGUGAACAUGUUAAUUUUUGAUUUUGAAAUCAAAAAUUACGAAGAGGUGUUUUUUAGUAAUGUUAGGUAAAUUAUUGUGUUUUGAUUGCAUUGAGUAUAUACGAUUACACUAUUUUUGGAAAUCCAUUGAUACAGAGAGGGAAAUCCAUUGAAAUCCAUUUUUGGAAAUCCAUUGAAAUCCGUUAAUCUUGGUUUAUGCUUAUAAAGUGUAAAUAAUGAGAGGGACUAAGGUGUUUUAGUGUGGAAAUCCAUUUAAUAUAUGAGGUGGAAAUUAUAUGAGGUGGACUAAGGUGUUUAAUUAUAAGGUGGAAAUCCAUUUAUGCUUAUAAGGUGUAAAUAAUGGGAUUAAUCUACUGUGUUUGCUCUGUUGUCUGAGGAGGGAAUUGCCAAGGGAAUUCAUAGAGUAACUGCUAUUACAACACUGUGCUUCUAAGGCCUUGGAACUAGCAUUGUCACUUGAAGUAAAUGAGGCAUCAAAAACAAAAGGAAGCUCGCUGGAACAGGCACUAAAGCAGCUACCUCAAGGAAAGAUCGAAUUAGCCACAAAAUUUGGUAUUGCCAAAAUUGAACCUACCCAAAUUGUGGUGAAAAGCACCCCUGAAUAUGUUCGCUCCUGUUGCGAGGCGAGCCUGAGGUGCCUUGGUGUGGACUACAUUGAUCUCUACUAUGUACACCGGAUUGACACAUCAGUACCUAUAGAGGAAACCAUGGGGGAACUUAAGAAGUUGGUGGAAGAGGGUAAAAUAAAGUUCAUUGGAUUAUCUGAAGCAAACCCAAACACAAUAAGGAGGGCACAUGCCCCCUACGGGCCCUACCUUUCUACUCAACCAUAUCAGCAUUCGUCUGUUGAUUACUUGUAAGGACGUUUCUAAGCAAUUGGUGUUAUGAUCCUGCUUGCAUGCCUUAAAUACAUUUCCCAUCAUUGGUUUGAAAAUUUUGCUAUUUAUUCACUAUAUAUAUAAAUUCACUAUUAAAUAAAUGAUUAAAUUCACUAUAUAUAUAAAUUAAGUUAACAACCUUAUUUAAGAGCUCCAUUUUGAUCAUCA
Long non-coding RNA from Camellia sinensis, 1647 nucleotides. RefSeq lists it as uncharacterized. NCBI's taxonomy places the organism in Eukaryota, Viridiplantae, Streptophyta, Magnoliopsida, Ericales, Theaceae. The record is from RefSeq and is a predicted model, not a curated record.